UCCACCAUUACAUCUACCAAGGAAUUGAAUAAAGUUUAAGCAAUCAAUUUCGGGUACGAACACGACUUUAGAGAUUCUAAUCUCUUGGGUUAUAAAAUCCUUAAUCAAACCAUUGGAGCAGUUAAAAUCCGAUACAAAGUUUUGAUCAAUCAUCUUCAUGCUUCUCGAUGUAGCUUCUCUAUGGUCUGAUGUAAACUGGUGCAGCGGAUGAGAAAGAGGUUCACGUGGAAAUUGGACCGGUUGAUGAGAAUGAGAAAUCAAAUACUCCUAUUGGAGCUGCGCUUUCGGCUGAUGAUGCUACGGUUCGUGAUUUAGUUGGAGAUGCAUUGGCUCAAACCUUGCGUCUGUCAUGGCUGCUGUGGUCAGCGAUCUGGCAGUGAGCUUUCAUUGUUCUCAGCGAUUUCGUCUGCUAAUCUGGGUUUAUGGUUAUAUACAUAAAGUUCAUGUCGUCUUAAGCCCAGAUGCAAAGGCGGUUUAUGGAACUCUUUUCGAGGCAGAGCAUUACUUUCUACUUCCCAUAUUGGAACUUUCCUCCAGCCAGAUGGUAAGUUCCAAGAUGGUAAGUUCCAAGGCAAAGAAAAUUCCAAAGUGAUCUCAAGAUUAUAUAAAAAAAAUUUCUAAGCAAAGGGAGUAAUGAAAGUAUUUUUACCAAUGGCGAUGGCAACAAUGACUGUGAUUUAGGGUUUCGAUUUUAUUUCCGAUGAUCAUGCGACGGUGGGAUCCCGGAAAGUUACGGUCAACAAUGGGCCAGUUUCUACGGAUUCAAAGGGAGAUUGUGUUGAGAAGAAAUCUUUUCGAUUUACUAAGGAAUUUUCAGAAAAAUAGAAAGACAGAGAUCGAUGGAUAUUGGGGAUCAAGGAGAUCUGGGAAUCGUAUCUCUUUAUUGAACUUUUGGACAUUAAACGGACAAUCUCUGGAUCUUCGAGGUAGGAUUUCCGGUCUCUUUAAACCGGAUUUAGAUCUGAUAACAAGGGGUUCUAGCGAGUAUCGUCAGAGAACUCAAUCUAAUGGUUAUUGGAACUGUGCUAAGGUGUCAGAAAGGGUGAAAAAGAGAUCAUAUUCAAACAGAGGAGACUAUAGAAGAGACGAGGGAAGAUCGUGGUACAGGAACUCUCGUUACGAACCCUCAAGAGGAUAUGCUCAAGAAGAUCGUAAUAGGUUUGCUCGUGGUUCCAGGAGAGAAACCAGUCAACUAAGGGAUGUGAUGGAGGAAGAUCAUGAAGAAGGUGAGUUUCAGAACAAGGUGUGAUAAGUGAAGGAAGAUCACCAGGGAGACAAAGAGAUACCUCAGACUAAGAAUGUACUGGCGGUUCAGAUGGAGUUGACCUUGCCACAAAUCGUCUCAUAUGUGGUAAUCUUAGACUCGAUAAGAAUGGAAGAUGGUGUUGACUUAGGGAAUAAAAUGUUAGAGGAGGGGAUUAAUGGUUUACGUGAGGAUGUAAUGGUGCUUGAUGACAAACAUGUCAACAUGAGUGGGAAAGGGAAAAAGGAAAACGAUGAUGAUAAGUUUCUGAACAUUACUGAUGAUCUUAUGUAUCAAUACAUCAUUGGAAAACAGUUAUGGAGUUCGGUUGUGGUGUUUGAUU
Brassica oleracea var. oleracea is the source of this 1586-nucleotide long non-coding RNA. RefSeq lists it as uncharacterized. Lineage: Eukaryota; Viridiplantae; Streptophyta; Magnoliopsida; Brassicales; Brassicaceae. The record is from RefSeq and is a predicted model, not a curated record. The transcript is spliced from 2 exons.